Molecule: long non-coding RNA, 201 nt
Filed under: Elaeis guineensis (African oil palm)
Lineage: Eukaryota; Viridiplantae; Streptophyta; Magnoliopsida; Arecales; Arecaceae
Description: long non-coding RNA (EGUI_LNC050372)
Source: RNAcentral
UAACUGGACUACCUAAGACUCCAAGUAAAAAUGAUGCAGCUUAGGUGAUUGUGGACUGAUUGACAAAGUCUGCAUAUUUUCUAUCAAUUAGAGUUGGAUUCACUUUGGAAAGACUAGCAAAAUUAUAUACGAAAGAAAUUAUAAGGCUACAUGAAAUUUCAGUGAUCAUUGUAUCGGAUCGAGACACCAAAUUUGUAUCAU